AAGUCGUAACAAGGUUUCCGUAGGUGAACCUGCGGAAGGAUCAUUUCCGAACAAAACUCUUACAAACCAAUCUUGUGGAAUGUUCUGGGUUUUUUUUUUACUCUAGGAGGUAGGGCUUAGUUGCGGCAAUAGUGGCAGCCAGCGUUUGUACCAGUGGGUACCUCUGUGCGGCAGCCCGCCUAUUAUACGCAAUGCUCGACGCUCUACUUUUCUCCUAGAGGCCAUGAUGAACUACCUUCGGGUUGAUAGUAUCUUUUAUUUCACUUUUCUCGUGUGUUGUGCUCUCGCGGCAUGACACGCAGAAAUCAAAACAAAAAAUAUAAUGAUACGACAACUUUUAACGGUGGAUCUCUUGGCUCGU
RNAcentral lists this unclassified non-coding RNA (361 nucleotides) under fungal sp. RNAcentral's name for it is "partial internal transcribed spacer region". The stretch from base 1 to 46 matches the Rfam family "Eukaryotic small subunit ribosomal RNA", at positions 1786 to 1831 of the family's 1831-position model. The record is from RNAcentral. Lineage: Eukaryota; Fungi.